AGAAUUUGGGAGAAAAGUUCACAUUUGUGGGCAGGCCAGGACCUAGAAACCAAUCACUGGAGAAGUGGGUGGAAUAUCAAGAGAAAAUGUUAGAGCUGAAACCAAAGGAGGAGAGAUUUCAGAAAAAUUGUCACAAUUAUAAGAUGCAGUGGAGAGAUCCUAAGAGAGCAUUCCUUUUAUGAGGAGUACAGCAUUGGAACCUUGGCUAGCAGCAGUUAGUGAUGGUGUGGUGAGGGCAGGGUCAUGCUGCCUCACCAGGAAAACGGGGGGGUGGGGGGUGGGGGGGUGCAGAGAAUAAGGGCGGGAACGUACUGCACUCUUUCGAGAGAAGUUUGAUAAGGAAAGAAAGGAAAGAGAGGGGAGGUUUUUACAGGGAGACACAUUGAGUGAAUUCUCUUUGUUCCUGCACUUGAGCAUAGUAUUUUUAGACUGAAGAGAAGUAGCUACUGGGGAGGAAAAGGGAAAUGAUUGAAGAUGAGAGAGCAAGAGCAAAGACUAAAUGGAACNNNNNNNNNNNNNNNCUCCAGGGAGCUUAUUUCCAUUACAUAAUUCACUAAACAAAUGUGGAUUCAUUUCUGUUUCAGUUCUAGCGUCUUCUGACUGGAAGUGUGAUUUCUGGCUAUACAUUGCCAUGUCUUCCCUGCCCCCCCCUUGACACACACCCCAGCAACUGCUCUGGGGAGUGCCUUUGCAAAGAUACCUCAUCCCUGGCAGCGGGGACCGGAAGACAUGUGCGGGCAAUGCUUUUUGCCCAGUUGGAAUAAAGGGCAGCAUCCCCAGGACAGCUAGGAACUGAGGCGGACCAGCUCUGCUGUGACACAGCCCUGAAGGCGGCUAGCGCAUCUUCGGGAUGAGGGGCCCCCCUUUAUCCCUGAUAUAUCGCCUGUCUCAUUAUGCUUAACAUCUCAAACGUUAUUAAUUUUUAAUUAUUUACAUUUAAUCAUCUGCCUUACUUAAGCAUCCAAAUUCCACAGCUAAUGUUCUCCAUGAAAUAUUUACUAAACAAUCAAUCCUCUUGGAUUCCCUAGAACUGAGUGUUUUCAAUUUGCAGCAAACCUCUCCUCCAGGAGGCUGUCUUCACAUACUCGUGUGCUGGAGGGACAUGGCUGUGCCCCGGGCGCUUGUGGCUUCAGCCGUGGCAUCCGCUUUGUCUCAGGGAUGUUCUGUCAACUAUAACGGGAUGGAUGGCCCUGCUUAGCAUUAGUGUUAGCAGGUUGAGUGCCAAGGGACACUCACACCAGCUCCCUUCUCAUUUCUCUUCUGUUGGGGCUGGAAAUGCAUUAACAAGGAGCCAGUUGUGUGGAUAGGAAAGCAAAACAACCCUUAUUUGUGGUCAAAAGGCAGAGGCAUGGUGAAAACUAAUCAUAGCUCCCAUAAGAGAGAGUCACUCACACAACUGAUCAACCAGCUGGCUUUUCCUUGCAAAACCAGGAGCCACUGUCAAUGGGAAAGCCAUUUCUAGAGCUGAGGCCAAGGGAAGUAGGCUUAUCAACCCUGCGCUCCCUGCCACAGACACCUGACACAAACAGCUCCCUCAUCCUUUGUGCAGAGGGAGGGGGCCCAGAGUCAACAAAUGUGAACUGGUUUCACUUAGUUUCCCAGCCGAGGAGCUAGGAGGAACUGUGUUAAGUUACCUAUGCUCACCAGGGCUGUGUCCCUUGCCACCUCCUAUAAGAUCACUGGGUGGGUAGAUUGUGUGAUGCAUCCAGCAGAGUGGUUGAGAGUAAGAGAUAUACAUUAGGCCUUCCUUCAUUCAUUCCACAAGUAUUUACUGGUCUCGUGCCAUGUGCCAGGCACUGUGCCAGGCACUAGAGAGGCAGAAGCGAACAAGACAGACAUGGCAGCUACCUUCAUGGAAUUUCCAUUCCAGUGAGUGUAAGGCUCUGGGAUUUGAGUCAUGGUCUCCAACUACUAGCUGAAUGACUCUGGAUAAGUUAAUUAACCUCUCUUAUCUAAAAAUGGGAAUAAUCAGAGUACUUCCCUUGUAGAGUUGCUGUGAUGACUACUUAAUUAUUUCCAUACAAAUGCAUGUGAAACUCAGAAAUCAGAAGACUGGCUCAUUCGGCUGCUUUCACUGAGUUGUUGUAGCUUAGUUACACAUGUAUAGUUUCACUAAAGCUUGUAUUUGAGGCAGUUUACAGAAUCAGCAUUUUAAUUAAGAACAUUAUUAAAAUUAUUACUGCUUGGCGCAGCUCUAAUUUAAGGAGCAGUUGUAGACCAGAUACAAAUGAUGUGACUGUUGUGACCAGAUGUUACACAGGAAGGACUUCUAUGUUCAGGUAAAGUCAGUAGUAUAAUACCUAGUAUGGAGGAGUUCCUGCUGUGGCACAGUGAGUUAAGAAUCUGACUGCAGGGAGUUCCUUUCCCGUUGUGGUUCAGCGGAAAUGAAUCUGACUAGUAUCCAUGAGGACGCAGGUUUGAUCCCUGGCCUCGCUCAGUGGGUCAGGGAUCUGGCAUUGCUGUGAGAUGCGGCUUGGAUCUGGCAUUCACUGAGGCUAUGGCAUAGGCAGGCAGCUGCAGCUCGAAUUUGACCCCUAGCCUGGGAACUUCUAUAUGCUGUGAGCACAGCCCUAAAAAAAAAAAAAAAAAAAAAAA
This 2595-nucleotide long non-coding RNA is filed under the name Sus scrofa (pig). RNAcentral describes it as "lncRNA (ENSSSCG00005039541.1)". The record is from RNAcentral. Lineage: Eukaryota; Metazoa; Chordata; Mammalia; Artiodactyla; Suidae.